Molecule: ribosomal RNA, 465 nt
Filed under: Vreelandella stevensii
Lineage: Bacteria; Pseudomonadati; Pseudomonadota; Gammaproteobacteria; Oceanospirillales; Halomonadaceae
Description: partial 16S ribosomal RNA
Rfam family: Bacterial small subunit ribosomal RNA
Source: RNAcentral
CCUACGGGUGGCUGCAGUGGGGAAUAUUGGACAAUGGGCGAAAGCCUGAUCCAGCCAUGCCGCGUGUGUGAAGAAGGCCUUCGGGUUGUAAAGCACUUUCAGUGGGGAAGAAAGCCUUGGGGCUAAUACCCUCGAGGAAGGACAUCACCCACAGAAGAAGCACCGGCUAACUCCGUGCCAGCAGCCGCGGUAAUACGGAGGGUGCGAGCGUUAAUCGGAAUUACUGGGCGUAAAGCGCGCGUAGGCGGUCUGAUAAGCCGGUUGUGAAAGCCCCGGGCUCAACCUGGGAACGGCAUCCGGAACUGUCAGGCUAGAGGGCAGGAGAGGAAGGUAGAAUUCCCGGUGUAGCGGUGAAAUGCGUAGAGAUCGGGAGGAAUACCAGUGGCGAAGGCGGCCUUCUGGACUGACACUGACGCUGAGGUGCGAAAGCGUGGGUAGCAAACAGGAUUAGAUACCCUAGUAGUC